GAAGGUUUUCGGAUUGUAAACUUCUGUUGUAAGAGAAGAAAUACUAGAAUAGGAAAUGAUUCUAAUUUGACGUUAUCUUACUAGAAAGUCACGGCAAACUAUGUGCCAGCAGCCGCGGUAAUACAUAGGUGGCAAGCGUUAUCCGGAUUUAUUGGGCGUAAAGAGUGCACAGGCGGUUUGUUAAGUCAGUUGUAAAAGGUUGGAGCUCAACUCCAAUAGGCAAUUGAAACUAAUAGACUAGAAUACAGGUGGGGGUAGUGGAAUUUCAUGUGUAGCGGUGGAAUGCAUAAAUAUAUGAAGGAACACCAGUGGCGAAGGCGGCUACCUGAACUGAUAUUGACGCUUAAGUACGAAAGCGUGGGGAGCAAAUAGGAUUAGAUACCCUAGUAGUCCACGCCGUAAACGAUCUAGACUAGUUGUUGUUAUAAAACAGUGACGCAGCUAACGCAUUAAGUCUAGCGCCUGGGUAGUAUGCACGCAAGUGUGAAACUCAAAGGAAUUGACGGGGACCCGCACAAGUGGUGGAGCAUGUGGU
This 535-nucleotide ribosomal RNA is filed under the name uncultured Mycoplasmataceae bacterium. Its description in RNAcentral is "bacterial SSU rRNA". It matches the Rfam family "Bacterial small subunit ribosomal RNA", at positions 410 to 945 of the family's 1533-position model. Lineage: Bacteria; Bacillati; Mycoplasmatota; Mollicutes; Mycoplasmatales; Mycoplasmataceae. The record is from RNAcentral.